AGAACGAACGUUGGCGGCGUGCUUAACACAUGCAAGUCGAGCGAGAAAGCCCCCGCAAGGGGGUGAGUAAAGCGGCGCACGGGUGAGUAACACGUGGGUGACGUACCCUCCGUUGGGGGAUAACACCUCGCAAGGGGCGCUAAUACCGCGUACGACCCGUCGGCUACGGCCGGCGGGUGAUAGGAGCAAUCCGGCGGAGGAUCGGCCCGCGGCCCAUCAGCUUGUUGGCGGGGUAAUGGCCCACCAAGGCUAUGACGGGUAGCUGGUCUGAGAGGAUAGCCAGCCACACUGGAACUGAGACACGGUCCAGACUCCUACGGGAGGCAGCAGUGGGGAAUCUUGCGCAAUGGGCGAAAGCCUGACGCAGCGACGCCGCGUGGGUGACGAAGGCCUUCGGGUCGUAAAGCCCUGUGGGGAGGGACGAACAAGCAGCAAUGCCCUGACGGUACCUCCUUAGCAAGCACCGGCCAACUCCGUGCCAGCAGCCGCGGUAAGACGGAGGGUGCAAACGUUGUUCGGAAUUACUGGGCGUAAAGCGCGUGUAGGCGGUCCGAAAAGUCGGAUGUGAAAUCCCUCGGCUUAACCGAGUGAAUUGCAUUCGAUACUGCCGGACUGGAGUUCGGGAGAGGGACGUGGAAUUCCCGGUGUAGAGGUGAAAUUCGUAGAUAUCGGGAGGAACACCGGUGGCGAAGGCGGCGUCCUGGACCGAUACUGACGCUGAGACGCGAAAGCGCGGGGAGCAAACAGGAUUAGAUACCCUGGUAGUCCACGCCGUAAACGAUGGGCACUUGGUAUCGCGGGUAUUGACCCCUGCGGUGCCGAAGCUAACGCGUUAAGUGCCCCGCCUGGGGAGUACGGCCGCAAAGGUGAAACUCAAA
Molecule: ribosomal RNA, 878 nt
Filed under: uncultured bacterium
Lineage: Bacteria
Description: bacterial SSU rRNA
Rfam family: Bacterial small subunit ribosomal RNA
Source: RNAcentral